Molecule: ribosomal RNA, 497 nt
Filed under: uncultured bacterium
Lineage: Bacteria
Description: partial 16S ribosomal RNA
Rfam family: Bacterial small subunit ribosomal RNA
Source: RNAcentral
GAUGAACGCUGGCGGCGUGCCUAAUACAUGCAAGUCGAGCGAACAGACGAGGAGCUUGCUCCUCUGACGUUAGCGGCGGACGGGUGAGUAACACGUGGAUAACCUACCUAUAAGACUGGGAUAACUUCGGGAAACCGGAGCUAAUACCGGAUAAUAUAUUGAACCGCAUGGUUCAAUAGUGAAAGACGGUUUUGCUGUCACUUAUAGAUGGAUCCGCGCCGCAUUAUCUAGUUGGUAAGGUAACGGCUUACCAAGGCAACGAUGCGUAGCCGACCUGAGAGGGUGAUCGGCCACACUGGAACUGAGACACGGUCCAGACUCCUACGGGAGGCAGCAGUAGGGAAUCUUCCGCAAUGGUCGAAAGCCUAACGUAGCAACGCCGCGUGAGUGAUGAAGGUCUUCGGAUCGUAAAACUCUGUUAUUAGGGAAGAACAAAUGUGUAAGUAACUAUGCACGUCUUGACGGUACCUAAUCAGAAAGCCACGGCUAACUACGUG